This 460-nucleotide ribosomal RNA is filed under the name uncultured bacterium. RNAcentral's name for it is "partial 16S ribosomal RNA". It matches the Rfam family "Bacterial small subunit ribosomal RNA", at positions 338 to 795 of the family's 1533-position model. The record is from RNAcentral.
CCUACGGGUGGCAGCAGUGAGGAAUAUUGGUCAAUGGACGAGAGUCUGAACCAGCCAAGUAGCGUGAAGGAUGACUGCCCUAUGGGUUGUAAACUUCUUUUAUAUGGGAAUAAAAUGUUCCACGUGUGGGAUUUUGUAUGUACCAUAUGAAUAAGGAUCGGCUAACUCCGUGCCAGCAGCCGCGGUAAUACGGAGGAUCCGAGCGUUAUCCGGAUUUAUUGGGUUUAAAGGGAGCGUAGGUGGAUUGUUAAGUCAGUUGUGAAAGUUUGCGUCUCAACCGUAAAAUUGCAGUUGAAACUGGCAGUCUUGAGUACAGUAGAGGUGGGCGGAAUUCGUGGUGUAGCGGUGAAAUGCUUAGAUAUCACGAAGAACUCCGAUUGCGAAGGCAGUUCACUGGACUGCAACUGACACUGAGGCUCGAAAGUGUGGGUAUCAAACAGGAUUAGAUACCCGUGUAGUC